RNAcentral lists this ribosomal RNA (397 nucleotides) under uncultured bacterium. RNAcentral's name for it is "partial 16S ribosomal RNA". It matches the Rfam family "Bacterial small subunit ribosomal RNA", at positions 523 to 918 of the family's 1533-position model. The record is from RNAcentral.
AUACGUAGGGGGCGAGCGUUGUCCGGAAUGAUUGGGCGUAAAGGGCGCGUAGGCGGCCCGGUAAGUCUGGAGUGAAAGUCCUGUUUUUAAGAUGGGAAUUGCUUUGGAUACUGUCGGGCUUGAGUGCAGGAGAGGUAAGUGGAAUUCCCAGUGUAGCGGUGAAAUGCGUAGAGAUUGGGAGGAACACCAGUGGCGAAGGCGACUUACUGGACUGUAACUGACGCUGAGGCGCGAAAGUGUGGGGAGCAAACAGGAUUAGAUGCCCUGGUAGUCCACACCGUAAACGAUGAAUGCUAGGUGUAGGGGGUAUCGACCCCUUCUGUGCCGCAGUCAACACAAUAAGCAUUCCGCCUGGGGAGUACGGCCGCAAGGUUGAAACUCAAAUGAAUUGACGGGG